This is a long non-coding RNA of Lycium barbarum (goji berry), 447 nucleotides long. RefSeq lists it as uncharacterized. The transcript has 2 exons. The record is from RefSeq and is a predicted model, not a curated record. Lineage: Eukaryota; Viridiplantae; Streptophyta; Magnoliopsida; Solanales; Solanaceae.
AUGAAAUAGCAUUCUACACAGCCUCUAACAUGAGCCUUAAUUCGAAAAUGGUAGGUUAUUUUGAGAAAAAAUUGACCAACUCAUACGUCGACAAGGAUGAUUUUAUCCUUCCAAGUAGCAUUCUUGAAUUUCUCCCAGACAAUGAUCGUGAAACUGUUGUAAUUUCUGAAAGAGGUGCAUACUUAAUGAAAUACAAAGUUGGUGCUCAUAUGCGGCUCUAUCAAGGAUGGAAAGAAUUUAUAGAUGCUAACGGAUACAGGAUAGGGGAUGUAUUGUGUUUCAAGGCCUGUGACGCUGCUAGGGACCGGAUACACUUCCUUGUUGAAAAAAAACAGGAGAUCAUAGAAAUAGAUUAGACUGGUCUCCGUGUUUUCAAUUUAAGCAAGGUUUAUGUUGGAGCACAUGUAACACCUUUGCUUUCUAAAUUAAAGGGAUUUCAUUCAUCAA